CGGAGGGUGCAAGCGUUAUCCGGAUUCACGUGGUUUAAAGGGUGCGUAGGUGGGCAGGUAAGUCCGUGGUGAAAUCUCUGAGCUUAACUCAGAAACUGCCGUGGAUACUAUUUGUCUUGAAUAUUGUGGAGGUAAGCGGAAUAUGUCAUGUAGCGGUGAAAUGCUUAGAUAUGACAUAGAACACCAAUUGCGAAGGCAGCUUACUACACAAUUAUUGACGCUGAGGCACGAAAGCGUGGGGAUCAAACAGGAUUAGAUACCCUGGUAGUCCACGCCCUAAACGAUGAUUACUCGACAUCAGCGAUACACUGUUGGUGUCUGAGCGAAAGCAUUAAGUAAUCCACCUGGGAAGUACGAUCGCAAGAUUG
Molecule: ribosomal RNA, 368 nt
Filed under: uncultured organism
Description: bacterial SSU rRNA
Rfam family: Bacterial small subunit ribosomal RNA
Source: RNAcentral